RNAcentral lists this long non-coding RNA (203 nucleotides) under Gossypium barbadense (sea-island cotton). RNAcentral describes it as "long non-coding RNA (GBAR_LNC017494)". The record is from RNAcentral. Lineage: Eukaryota; Viridiplantae; Streptophyta; Magnoliopsida; Malvales; Malvaceae.
UCAAAGAGAUUUCAACACAAACAUAUCGUGCACAAAGAUAUCCAAAUCAAACAAUACACCAAAAACAAAUAUGAGCCACGAGAUCAAAACACUCAACACCAGUAAAAUAACAUGACAAAACACCCAUGAACAAAGCGGUCAAAGGGUUAAUUAGGGGCUUUUCAUAAAUCUUAAUGAGUUAAGAACAACAUGCGAUAUCAAAC